Molecule: ribosomal RNA, 253 nt
Filed under: uncultured bacterium
Lineage: Bacteria
Description: partial 16S ribosomal RNA
Rfam family: Bacterial small subunit ribosomal RNA
Source: RNAcentral
UACGUAGGGGGCAAGCGUUGUCCGGAAUCAUUGGGCGUAAAGAGCGUGUAGGCGGCUCGGUAAGUCCGCUGUGAAAGUCCAGGGCUCAACCCUGGAAUGCCGGUGGAAACUGUCGAGCUAGAGUCCGGAAGAGGCGAGUGGAAUUCCUGGUGUAGCGGUGAAAUGCGCAGAUAUCAGGAGGAACACCAAUGGCGAAGGCAGCUCGCUGGGACGGUACUGACGCUGAGACGCGAAAGCGUGGGGAUCAAACAGG